AUAAAUGAGCCUAACACAAGCUGAGCCUGGGCUCGCUUUUGUUCGGCUCAUUUACACCCCUAAUUGAGGUUCUCAUCAUAAACUACUGAUAUCUGCAGCCAUUGCUGGUGUUGUGGCAUACAACAAUAACAAGCUCAAGAAGGAAGCAUCUGGGAUCAGUCCAACUGGAAACACUGAUUCUAGAGAUGAGUUGAGAUCAGAUGAUAUUCGCGUACAACUGACUUCUUCCAACGAAACAAGAUAGAUUUCAUUCUUUUCGUCUGAAAUGCCAACUUCUUCUCUGUAUAUCAUUGAUUUGGAGCAGCACGCUGCGAAGCCUGAAGAAAUCACUGUCAAGGUUGAUAUCUUUGCAUCUAGCAUUUAUUUUCUUUAUUUUUUUCUUAAACUAGUUCUUCAAACAAUA
Phalaenopsis equestris is the source of this 403-nucleotide long non-coding RNA. RefSeq lists it as uncharacterized. NCBI's taxonomy places the organism in Eukaryota, Viridiplantae, Streptophyta, Magnoliopsida, Asparagales, Orchidaceae. The record is from RefSeq and is a predicted model, not a curated record. The transcript is spliced from 2 exons.